CCUACGGGAGGCAGCAGUGAGGAAUUUUGCGCAAUGGGGGAAACCCUGACGCAGCAACGCCGCGUGAGUGAUGAAGGCCUUCGGGUCGUAAAGCUCUGUCGGGUGGGAAGAAACGUCGGAGGGUGAAUAGCUCUUCGGCCUGACGGUACCACCAAAGGAAGCACCGGCCAACUCCGUGCCAGCAGCCGCGGUAAUACGGAGGGUGCAAGCGUUGUUCGGAAUCAUUGGGCGUAAAGGGCGCGUAGGCGGUUCGGUAAGUCGGGGGUGAAAGCCCCGGGCUCAACCCGGGAAGUGCAUCCGAAACUGCCGGACUUGAGUACGGGAGGGGGAAGUGGAAUUCCUGGUGUAGGGGUGAAAUCCGUAGAUAUCAGGAGGAACACCGAUGGCGAAGGCAGUCCCCGGGGCCUGUACUGACGCUCAUGAACGAAAGCGUGGGGAGCAAACAGGAUUAGAUACCCCUGUAGU
RNAcentral lists this ribosomal RNA (465 nucleotides) under uncultured delta proteobacterium. RNAcentral describes it as "partial 16S ribosomal RNA". It matches the Rfam family "Bacterial small subunit ribosomal RNA", at positions 338 to 794 of the family's 1533-position model. Lineage: Bacteria; Deltaproteobacteria. The record is from RNAcentral.